This 584-nucleotide ribosomal RNA is filed under the name uncultured bacterium. RNAcentral describes it as "bacterial SSU rRNA". It matches the Rfam family "Bacterial small subunit ribosomal RNA", at positions 337 to 911 of the family's 1533-position model. The record is from RNAcentral.
UCCUACGGGAGGCAGCAGUCGAGAGGCUUCGGCAAUGGGGGAAACCCUGACCGAGCGACGCCGCGUGGACGAUGAAGUAUUUCGGUACGUAAAGUCCUGUCAUGUGGGAUGAAACGACGAUUGGUUAAUAGCCCUUCGUUUUGACAGUACCACAAGAGGAAGCUCCGGCUAACUCCGUGCCAGCAGCCGCGGUAAUACGGGGGGAGCAAGCGUUAUUCGGAUUCAUUGGGCGUAAAGAGUUCGUAGGCGGUCUGACAAGUCAGGGGUGAAAUCCAACAGCUUAACUGUUGACCUGCCUUUGAAACUGUCAGACUUGAGUACUGGAGAGGAAAGCGGAAUUCUUGGUGUAGCGGUGAAAUGCGUGCAUAUCAAGAGGAACACCCGUGGCGAAGGCGGCUUUCUGGCCAGAUACUGACGCUGAGGAACGAAAGCUAGGGGAGCAAACGGGAUUAGAUACCCCGGUAGUCCUAGCCGUAAACGAUGGGCACUAGGUGUAGAGGGUAUCGACCCCCUCUGUGCCGCAGCUAACGCAUUAAGUGCCCCGCCUGGGGAGUACGAUCGCAAGAUUGAAACUCAAAGGAAUU